UACGAAGGGGGCUAGCGUUGCUCGGAAUCACUGGGCGUAAAGCGCACGUAGGCGGACUCUUAAGUCGGUGGUGAAAUCCUGGAGCUCAACUCCAGAACUGCCUUCGAUACUGGGAGUCUCGAGUUCGGGAGAGGUGAGUGGAACUGCGAGUGUAGAGGUGAAAUUCGUAGAUAUUCGCAAGAACACCAGUGGCGAGGGCGGCUCACUGGCCCGAUACUGACGCUGAGGUGCGAAAGCGUGGGGAGCAAACAGG
RNAcentral lists this ribosomal RNA (253 nucleotides) under uncultured bacterium. RNAcentral's name for it is "partial 16S ribosomal RNA". It matches the Rfam family "Bacterial small subunit ribosomal RNA", at positions 524 to 776 of the family's 1533-position model. The record is from RNAcentral.